RNAcentral lists this ribosomal RNA (2401 nucleotides) under Salmonella enterica subsp. houtenae. RNAcentral describes it as "partial 23S ribosomal RNA". It matches the Rfam family "Bacterial large subunit ribosomal RNA", at positions 554 to 2925 of the family's 2925-position model. The record is from RNAcentral. Lineage: Bacteria; Pseudomonadati; Pseudomonadota; Gammaproteobacteria; Enterobacterales; Enterobacteriaceae.
AACCGCAAAAGAAGCAGAGGGGGCUUAGUGGUGGGGUGACUGCGUACCUUUUGUAUAAUGGGUCAGCGACUUAUAUUCUGUAGCAAGGUUAACCGCAUAGGGGAGCCGGAGGGAAACCGAGUCUUAAUUGGGCGUUAAGUUGCAGGGUAUAGACCCGAAACCCGGUGAUCUAGCCAUGGGCAGGUUGAAGGUUGGGUAACACUAACUGGAGGACCGAACCGACUAAUGUUGAAAAAUUAGCGGAUGACCUGUGGCUGGGGGUGAAAGGCCAAUCAAACCGGGAGAUAGCUGGUUCUCCCCGAAAGCUAUUUAGGUAGCGCCUCGUGAAUUCAUCUCCGGGGGUAGAGCACUGUUUCGGCCAGGGGGCCAUCCCGGCUUACCAAUCCGAUGCAAACUGCGAAUACCGGAGAAUGUUAUCACGGGAGACACACGGCGGGUGCUAACGUCCGUCGUGAAGAGGGAAACAACCCAGACCGCCAGCUAAGGUCCCAAAGUCAUGGUUAAGUGGGAAACGAUGUGGGAAGGCCCAGACAGCCAGGAUGUUGGCUUAGAAGCAGCCAUCAUUUAAAGAAAGCGUAAUAGCUCACUGGUCGAGUCGGCCUGCGCGGAAGAUGUAACGGGGCUAAACCAUGCACCGAAGCUGCGGCAGCGACACUGAUGUGUUGUUGGGUAGGGGAGCGUUCUGUAAGCCGUUGAAGGUGUGUCGUGAGGCAUGCUGGAGGUAUCAGAAGUGCGAAUGCUGACAUAAGUAACGAUAAAGCGGGUGAAAAGCCCGCUCGCCGGAAGACCAAGGGUUCCUGUCCAACGUUAAUCGGGGCAGGGUGAGUCGACCCCUAAGGCGAGGCCGAAAGGCGUAGUCGAUGGGAAACGGGUUAAUAUUCCCGUACUUGGUGUUACUGCGAAGGGGGGACGGAGAAGGCUAUGUUGGCCGGGCGACGGUUGUCCCGGUUUAAGCGUGUAGGUGUGUGUUCCAGGUAAAUCCGGUUCACUUUAACACUGAGGCGUGACGACGAGGCACUACGGUGCUGAAGCAACAAAUGCCCUGCUUCCAGGAAAAGCCUCUAAGCCUCAGGUAACAUCAAAUCGUACCCCAAACCGACACAGGUGGUCAGGUAGAGAAUACCAAGGCGCUUGAGAGAACUCGGGUGAAGGAACUAGGCAAAAUGGUGCCGUAACUUCGGGAGAAGGCACGCUGACACGUAGGUGAAGUGGUUUACCCAUGGAGCUGAAGUCAGUCGAAGAUACCAGCUGGCUGCAACUGUUUAUUAAAAACACAGCACUGUGCAAACACGAAAGUGGACGUAUACGGUGUGACGCCUGCCCGGUGCCGGAAGGUUAAUUGAUGGGGUCAGCGCAAGCGAAGCUCCUGAUCGAAGCCCCGGUAAACGGCGGCCGUAACUAUAACGGUCCUAAGGUAGCGAAAUUCCUUGUCGGGUAAGUUCCGACCUGCACGAAUGGCGUAAUGAUGGCCAGGCUGUCUCCACCCGGGACUCAGUGAAAUUGAACUCGCUGUGAAGAUGCAGUGUACCCGCGGCAAGACGGAAAGACCCCGUGAACCUUUACUAUAGCUUGACACUGAACACUGGUCCUUGAUGUGCAGGAUAGGUGGGAGGCUUUGAAGUGUGGACGCCAGUCUGCAUGGAGCCAUCCUUGAAAUACCACCCUUUAAUGGCUGGUGUUCUAACGUGGACCCGUAAUCCGGGUUGCGGACAGUGUCUGGUGGGUAGUUUGACUGGGGCGGUCUCCUCCUAAAGAGUAACGGAGGAGCACGAAGGUUGGCUAAUCCUGGUCGGACAUCAGGAGGUUAGUGCAAUGGCAUAAGCCAGCUUGACUGCGAGCGUGACGGCGCGAGCAGGUGCGAAAGCAGGUCAUAGUGAUCCGGUGGUUCUGAAUGGAAGGGCCAUCGCUCAACGGAUAAAAGGUACUCCGGGGAUAACAGGCUGAUACCGCCCAAGAGUUCAUAUCGACGGCGGUGUUUGGCACCUCGAUGUCGGCUCAUCACAUCCUGGGGCUGAAGUAGGUCCCAAGGGUAUGGCUGUUCGCCAUUUAAAGUGGUACGCGAGCUGGGUUUAGAACGUCGUGAGACAGUUCGGUCCCUAUCUGCCGUGGGCGCUGGAAGAUUGAGGGGGGCUGCUCCUAGUACGAGAGGACCGGAGUGGACGCAUCACUGGUGUUCGGGUUGUCAUGCCAAUGGCACUGCCCGGUAGCUACAUGCGGAAGAGAUAAGUGCUGAAAGCAUCUAAGCACGAAACUUGCCCCGAGAUGAAUCUUCCCUGAGCCUUUAAGGCUCCUGAAGGAACGUUGAAGACGACGACGUUGAUAGGCCGGGUGUGUAAGCGCAGCGAUGCGUUGAGCUAACCGGUACUAAUGAACCGUGAGGCUUAACCUUACAACGCCGAAG